AUUGAACGCUGGCGGCGUGCUUAACACAUGCAAGUCGAACGAAGCGGCGGACGGGUGAGUAAUGCCUAGGAAUCUGCCUGGUAGUGGGGGAUAACGUCCGGAAACGGGCGCUAAUACCGCAUACUAUCAGAUGAGCCUAGGUGGGAUUAGCUAGUUGGUGGGGUAAAGGCCUACCAAGGCGACGAUCCGUAACUGGUAUGAGAGGAUGAUCAGUCACACUGGAACUGAGACACGGUCCAGACUCGUACGGGAGGCAGGAGUGGGGAAUAUUGGCAAAUGGGCGAAAGCCUGAUCCAGCCAUGCCGCGUGUGGGAAGAAGGUCUUCGGAUUGUAAAGCACUUUAAGUUGGAAGGCGUUACCAACAGAAUAAGCACCGGCUAACUUCGUGCCAGCAGCCGCGGUAAUAC
This 407-nucleotide ribosomal RNA is filed under the name uncultured bacterium. Its description in RNAcentral is "partial 16S ribosomal RNA". It matches the Rfam family "Bacterial small subunit ribosomal RNA", at positions 30 to 526 of the family's 1533-position model. The record is from RNAcentral.